AGGGUUUGAUCAUGGCUCAGAUUGAACGCUGGCGGCGUGCCUAACACAUGCAAGUCGAGCGGUAACAGGUGUAGCAAUACAUGCUGACGAGCGGCGGACGGGUGAGUAACGCUUGGGAAUCUGCCUGUUAGUGGGGGACAACCCGGGGAAACUCGGGCUAAUACCGCAUACGCACUACGGUGGAAAGCCGGGGACCGCAAGGCCUGGCGCUAACAGAUGAGCCCAAGUCGGAUUAGCUAGUUGGUAGGGUAACGGCCUACCAAGGCGACGAUCCGUAACUGGUCUGAGAGGACGACCAGUCACACCGGAACUGAGACACGGUCCGGACUCCUACGGGAGGCAGCAGUGGGGAAUAUUGGACAAUGGGGGCAACCCUGAUCCAGCGACGCCGCGUGGGUGAAGAAGGCCUGCGGGUUGUAAAGCCCUUUCGGUUGGGAAGAAAAGCUGUGACCUAACACGUCGCGGCCUUGACGUAACCAACUAAAGAAGCACCGGCUAACUCUGUGCCAGCAGCCGCGGUAAUACAGAGGGUGCGAGCGUUAAUCGGAAUUACUGGGCGUAAAGCGCGCGUAGGCGGCUUUGCAAGCCGGAUGUGAAAUCCCCGGGCUUAACCUGGGAACUGCAUUCGGGACUGCAUUGCUAGAGUAUGGGAGAGGGAAGUGGAAUUUCAGGUGUAGCGGUGAAAUGCGUAGAUAUCUGAAGGAACAUCAGUGGCGAAAGCGACUUCCUGGACCAAUACUGACGCUCAUGUGCGAAAGCGUGGGGAGCAAACAGGAUUAGAUACCCUGGUAGUCCACGCCAUAAAC
This 806-nucleotide ribosomal RNA is filed under the name uncultured Gammaproteobacteria bacterium. RNAcentral describes it as "bacterial SSU rRNA". It matches the Rfam family "Bacterial small subunit ribosomal RNA", at positions 8 to 807 of the family's 1533-position model. Lineage: Bacteria; Pseudomonadati; Pseudomonadota; Gammaproteobacteria. The record is from RNAcentral.